UGGGGAAUUUUGGACAAUGGACGCAAGUCUGAUCCAGCCAUUCCGCGUGCAGGAUGAAGGCCCUCGGGUUGUAAACUGCUUUUGUACAGAACGAAAAGGCUCUUCCUAAUACGAAGGGCUCAUGACGGUACUGUAAGAAUAAGCACCGGCUAACUACGUGCCAGCAGCCGCGGUAAUACGUAGGGUGCAAGCGUUAAUCGGAAUUACUGGGCGUAAAGCGUGCGCAGGCGGUUAUGUAAGACAGAGGUGAAAUCCCCGGGCUCAACCUGGGAACUGCCUUUGUGACUGCAUAGCUAGAGUACGGUAGAGGGGGAUGGAAUUCCGCGUGUAGCAGUGAAAUGCGUAGAUAUGCGGAGGAACACCGAUGGCGAAGGCAAUCCCCUGGGCCUGUACUGACGCUCAUGCACGAAAGCGUGGGGAGCAAACAGG
This 429-nucleotide ribosomal RNA is filed under the name uncultured bacterium. Its description in RNAcentral is "bacterial SSU rRNA". It matches the Rfam family "Bacterial small subunit ribosomal RNA", at positions 355 to 776 of the family's 1533-position model. The record is from RNAcentral.